This 69-nucleotide small RNA is filed under the name Salmonella enterica subsp. enterica serovar Muenchen. RNAcentral describes it as "partial RtT sRNA". It matches the Rfam family "RtT RNA", at positions 63 to 130 of the family's 130-position model. Rfam says of the family: This family represents a bacterial cis-regulatory element known as RtT RNA. RNAcentral also lists the same sequence under 1 other name. Lineage: Bacteria; Pseudomonadati; Pseudomonadota; Gammaproteobacteria; Enterobacterales; Enterobacteriaceae. The record is from RNAcentral.
AAGCUUUGCCGCAGGCAACGACCCGAAGGGCGAAACGCGCAGCGCUGAGUCAUCCUUCCCCCACCACCA